This 745-nucleotide ribosomal RNA is filed under the name Enterobacter cloacae. Its description in RNAcentral is "bacterial SSU rRNA". It matches the Rfam family "Bacterial small subunit ribosomal RNA", at positions 53 to 787 of the family's 1533-position model. Lineage: Bacteria; Pseudomonadati; Pseudomonadota; Gammaproteobacteria; Enterobacterales; Enterobacteriaceae. The record is from RNAcentral.
ACAUGCAAGUCGAACGGUAACAGGAAGCAGCUUGCUGCUUUGCUGACGAGUGGCGGACGGGUGAGUAAUGUCUGGGAAACUGCCUGAUGGAGGGGGAUAACUACUGGAAACGGUAGCUAAUACCGCAUAACGUCGCAAGACCAAAGAGGGGGACCUUCGGGCCUCUUGCCAUCGGAUGUGCCCAGAUGGGAUUAGCUAGUAGGUGGGGUAACGGCUCACCUAGGCGACGAUCCCUAGCUGGUCUGAGAGGAUGACCAGCCACACUGGAACUGAGACACGGUCCAGACUCCUACGGGAGGCAGCAGUGGGGAAUAUUGCACAAUGGGCGCAAGCCUGAUGCAGCCAUGCCGCGUGUAUGAAGAAGGCCUUCGGGUUGUAAAGUACUUUCAGCGGGGAGGAAGGCGAUAAGGUUAAUAACCUUGUCGAUUGACGUUACCCGCAGAAGAAGCACCGGCUAACUCCGUGCCAGCAGCCGCGGUAAUACGGAGGGUGCAAGCGUUAAUCGGAAUUACUGGGCGUAAAGCGCACGCAGGCGGUCUGUCAAGUCGGAUGUGAAAUCCCCGGGCUCAACCUGGGAACUGCAUUCGAAACUGGCAGGCUAGAGUCUUGUAGAGGGGGGUAGAAUUCCAGGUGUAGCGGUGAAAUGCGUAGAGAUCUGGAGGAAUACCGGUGGCGAAGGCGGCCCCCUGGACAAAGACUGACGCUCAGGUGCGAAAGCGUGGGGAGCAAACAGGAUUAGAUACCC